UGACACGCAAGCAAUGACAAGGCAACAACAGCGAAUAACUGGAGGACACCUGGCACAUCGGUCUCGGGGUGUUACACUACUGGGCCUCAAACCCUAGUGAAGGGUCUCUCCACCCCCGUCCCCGUGUUUGCUCUAACCUCGCCAAAGCCGUCGCUCCUGCAGUCCUUCGGCGCCAUCCAAUCUCACGCCAGACUCCUGCGGUAGGAGAGGAGAGUAUGAACGACGUUUCUUGCAGUGACAGCGACGACCGAUGAGGAGCCCUUUCUGUUUCCACCUCCUUUCUUUCAUGGAUGCCGUGUCUUCUUUGCCCGUCAGAGCCCAGAUCUGUCUAUUGUUUGUACUGGUGAGUCCAUUUUGAACGCCCCCUCCCCCUCCUUUCCAUCUCUUUUAUGGGAUGUUCAAGCGCUCAUAUUUCUUAGAUCAUCGUUCGAGAGAAGAGAUGGGAAGAGAUUGAUUCCUGCAUUAAGAAUCUGUCCAAAGACACUAAGGUUUGUUUCUGUAUUGAGAUCUUUUCUUUAGUUAUGACUGAAUUUUCCCAAGAGCUCCUUUUGUAAUUUAUGAUGUCAAUAUCCAAGAAAUUUGAACCUGAGUUUUCAUACUUUAGUAACUGAAUUUCAUUGAUCCAAAUGAUAAUAUUGUAAUCUGUACAGACUUCCUGUGAUUUCUGACCCAACUCAUCUCUAUACAGACGUCCUGACUGGUGGUGAUUCUGUUCAGGGAGAAGAAAAUAUACAAUUCAUUGUGGCACUGUUAACGCUAGCAUCAGGAGGUUGUUCAUGUCAUCAAAAUGUGCAACCAGAAUGAAAGUGCAACUACACUGCAGCUUCUUCGAGGUAUGCAGAGUAUGUCCUCUCAUACAUCCUGUUCUUAAUCUGUCAAUUAUAUCCAAGAUAUGGGUUCACCAGGUACAAAGAACAUCUUAGUGGGAUUUCAAAAAAAAAGUUCAACUUAUUAGUGUUAGCUUCCUAUGUUAUUCUCCAUGGAACCCUCUCCUUAAUUAAGACAGGGUAUCCUUAAAAAGAAAUGUAAGACGAAGGAGGGUAGAGGAGAUCGAGGAGGGAGGGGGCCGUUGCGAGGAGAUAGUUGGAGGUCAAGCAUCGGCACUGGAGACGAGGACCCGCGAGCGGGAGAGGCGACGCUGGGCUGGCCAUUUCCACUGCGUCGGCAGAAGCCAGCGGAGUGAGCUCAUCAGCGUGGCAUCAAACUAUACAAUGAAGUCAGAGUCCGGCCAGAUCGUUUGCAAGUGAAAUAAGGGACCGACAACUGAAUAUUUUUAUGCCAACACACUUCUUGCUGGUGUGUCCUUUUAUCAAUAACAUGCCUGCUUCUCAGGAGACGCAAACUGUACCCGAUUAAGAAUGAGAAGAACAACCUUUGCUUCUACUAGGUACUUUCAUUUAUUGACAUUCACCUGUUUGUGUUGUUAACAUUUAGUUCCAUCUAUCCAUCAAUUAGUUAUUAGUUUUUGUAUAUUUCAAUUAAGCGUUGGGGAAGAGUAGCAAAUCAUAAAUUUGAAACAUGUAUCCUCGCAUCUGUGACUGUCUUAUAGUCCAUGAAUAAAUAGUUACUACUUCAUUGGCGCAGUAUUAUUUGCCGAAAUCCCUUUGGGCCAAUAUUUGACAUGUCUUUAUUUCCUCCUUUCCCUUAUACAAUAUUAAAUUUUGGCCUGGGCUUAUGUUUUUACUACCCCUAUCAGAUCAUUAUUUAUUGUAAUUUUUGUGCAAUUUUCUAUAUCGCCUGUUCUGAUUGCACUAAAACUUUCUUCUGCUAACAUAAUUUUUUCAUGUUAUGAGGUUUAUCUAUCCAUUUUUUUGCAUGUGACGAUAUAAAUGAAUUUUUUAGAUAAAAGGCUGAGCUCAACAUGCCUUGAAAAGGUUCGUGCAUAGUUUGGAAAGCUAAUUAGUUGAAUGUAGUGUCCGAUAUUCUUAAGCAUCUCCUCGGUUUUAUCAUUACCAAUUUGAGACGAUUUUCUUUGUCUCGGUUUAAGGCUAUUUAGCCUUCAGUUCGUGACCAAUCUCAUAAUUUGCUCUAAAUGAUAAGUUUUCACUGCUCCAGUGGUUUGGCCUGUUAGAAACAGUUGUAGUGUACUCAUUUGUUGGGAGUGUGAGUGCUCAUCGCGCUAUGUAUUGUAGAAAUCUACCGGAUUAGUCAACGGUAUGCUGCACCGUUUGCUUCAAAACAAUCCUGAUAUAUUUACUGAUUAUACAAUUCUUCGAUUUCCAUUGGUCAUUUUUCUCUUUGUGUUCUCAACUCUAUGUGAUAUCUAUUUUUCUUAAAUUUUGUGCAGCAAAUGAGUAAGAACUAUUACAUUGUACAUGCUACUUAUCACCUUCAUCGUUGUGUUGUGAACAAAGUUGAACUGUUUGGGCUUGUGAAAAAGGUAGAAAUUACUAGAUAUCGUGUCAUGAGAUAUGGCCCUUUUUAAUGGCAUACCAUAUGAAGAUUCUUUUAGUCAGUAGAACUUCUAUGCAUGCCUUCAGCACAUUACAUCUUCAUUCGGUGAAGGAUGUCAUCAAAAGUGAAGGAUGGCAUUGGAAUUUUCUUCAUUAUUUAACCAAGUGAAGGAUAGCAUCACACAAUGGUGUAGUCUAGGAUAGGGAUACCUACAUUUUUUUAUUUUUGCACAACACAUUGC
Triticum urartu is the source of this 2635-nucleotide non-coding RNA. The record is from RefSeq and is a predicted model, not a curated record. Lineage: Eukaryota; Viridiplantae; Streptophyta; Magnoliopsida; Poales; Poaceae.